RNAcentral lists this ribosomal RNA (843 nucleotides) under uncultured bacterium. RNAcentral's name for it is "bacterial SSU rRNA". It matches the Rfam family "Bacterial small subunit ribosomal RNA", at positions 26 to 868 of the family's 1533-position model. The record is from RNAcentral.
AGAAUGAACGUUGGCGGCGUGGAUUAGGCAUGCAAGUCGAGCGCGAACCCCGCAAGGGGGGAGAGCGGCAAACGGGGUAGUAACGGGUAGGUGACGUACCCUCGGGUCGGGGAUAGCCACGGGAAACUGUGGGUAAUACCCGAUGAUCUCUUGAAGUGUGGUAAUUUCGAGAGCAAAGGUGAGAUUCCACCUGAGGAGCGGCCUGCUUCGUAUUAGCUAGUUGGUAGGGUAAUGGCCUACCAAGGCAACGAUGCGUAGGGGGUGUGAGAGCAUGACCCCCACCACUGGGACUGAGAUACUGCCCAGACACCUACGGGUGGCUGCAGUCGAGAAUCUUCGGCAAUGGGCGCAAGCCUGACCGAGCGACGCCGCGUGUGGGAUGAAGGCCCUUGGGUUGUAAACCACUGUCAGAGGGGAUGAAGUGCACGUGAGCAAUCUCAUGUGUUUGACAUAGCCUCAGAGGAAGCACGGGCUAAGUUCGUGCCAGCAGCCGCGGUAAUACGAACUGUGCGAACGUUAUUCGGAAUCACUGGGCUUACAGGGUGCGUAGGCGGCCUGUUAAGUAGGGUGUGAAAUCCCCCGGCUCAACCGGGGAAUGGCGCCCUAAACUAGCGGGCUCGAGUGAGGCAGGGGUGUGUGGAACUCUCGGUGGAGCGGUGAAAUGUGUUGAUAUCGAGAGGAACGCCGGUGGCGAAAGCGACACACUGGGUCUUGUCUGACGCUGAGGCACGGAAGCCAGGGGAGCGAACGGGAUUAGAUACCCCGGUAGUCCUGGCUGUAAACGAUGAGCACUAGUUGGGAGGAACGCAAGUUCUUCCGAACGGAGCGAAAGUGUUAAGUGCU